CAUUAGGUGGCUGAAAGCAAGCAGUGGAAUUUUAAACCGCAUUAUGAUAGAAUAGCUCCUAUUCCUAAUG
RNAcentral lists this transfer RNA (70 nucleotides) under Pseudoplites inexpectatus. RNAcentral describes it as "tRNA-Lys". The record is from RNAcentral. Lineage: Eukaryota; Metazoa; Arthropoda; Insecta; Coleoptera; Cerambycidae.